GCUGCGGGGAGCUGGCAAACGAGCUUUGAUCCGCAGAUAUCCGAAUGGGGAAACCCGGCCCGAAUGGGUCAUCCCUUGCUGAAUACAUAGGCAAGGGAAGCGAACGCAGUGAACUGAAACAUCUAAGUAGCUGCAGGAACAGAAAUCAACCGAGAUUCCCAAAGUAGUGGCGAGCGAAAUGGGAUCAGCCUUGUACUCUUUAGCAGUAUUGUUAGCAAAGCGGAAUGGAAAGUCCGGCCAUAGUGGGUGAUAGCCCCGUAUGCGAAAACAGUAUUGUGGAACUAGGUGUACGACAAGUAGGGCGGGACACGUGAAAUCCUGUCUGAAGAUGGGGGGACCAUCCUCCAAGGCUAAAUACUCGUAAUCGACCGAUAGUGAACCAGUACCGUGAGGGAAAGGCGAAAAGAACCCCGGGAGGGGAGUGAAAUAGAUCCUGAAACCGCAUGCAUACAAACAGUCGGAGCCUGGAAACGGGUGACGGCGUACCUUUUGUAUAAUGGGUCAGCGACUUACAUUCAGUGGCAAGCUUAACCGAUUAGGGAAGGCGUAGCGAAAGCGAGUCCGAAUAGGGCGUUCAGUCGCUGGGUGUAGACCCGAAACCAAGUGAUCUAUCCAUGGCCAGGUUGAAGGUGCGGUAACACGUACUGGAGGACCGAACCCACUAACGUUGAAAAGUUAGGGGAUGAGCUGUGGAUAGGGGUGAAAGGCUAAACAAACUUGGAAAUAGCUGGUUCUCUCCGAAAACUAUUUAGGUAGUGCCUCGUGUCUCACCUUCGGGGGUAGAGCACUGUCAUGGUUGGGGGGGUCUAUUGCUGAUUACCCCGCCAUAGCAAACUCCGAAUACCGAAGAGUGCAAUCACGGGAGACAGACAUCGGGUGCUAACGUCCGGUGUCAAGAGGGAAACAACCCAGACCGCCAGCUAAGGUCCCUAAAUAUUGCUAAGUGGGAAACGAAGUGGGAAGGCUAAAACAGUCAGGAGGUUGGCUUAGAAGCAGCCACCCUUUAAAGAAAGCGUAAUAGCUCACUGAUCGAGUCGUCCUGCGCGGAAGAUGUAACGGGGCUAAGCAAUAUACCGAAGCUGCGGAUGCACGUAAGUGCAUGGUAGGAGAGCGUUCUGUAAGCCUGUGAAGGUGUCUUGUAAAGGAUGCUGGAGGUAUCAGAAGUGCGAAUGCUGACAUGAGUAGCGAUAAAGGGGGUGAAAGGCCCCCUCGCCGUAAGCCCAAGGUUUCCUACGCAACGUUCAUCGGCGUAGGGUGAGUCGGCCCCUAAGGCGAGGCAGAGAUGCGUAGCUGAUGGGAAGCAGGUUAAUAUUCCUGCACCGUCGUAUGAUGCGAUGGGGGGACGGAUCGCGGAAGGUUGUCCGGGUGUUGGAUGUCCCGGUCCCUGCAUUGGAGAUGGCACUUAGGCAAAUCCGGGUGCGUGAUUCAAGGGUGUGGGGCGAGCGACUUUAGGUCGCGAAGCAAUUGGAAGUGGUUCCAAGAAAAGCCUCUAAGCUUCAGUCAUACGAGACCGUACCGCAAACCGACACAGGUGGGCGAGAUGAGUAUUCUAAGGCGCUUGAGAGAACUCGGGAGAAGGAACUCGGCAAAUUGGUACCGUAACUUCGGGAUAAGGUACGCCCUUGUAGUUUGACUGGCUCGCGCCAGAGGACGAAGGGGUUGCAAUAAAAUGGUGGCUGCGACUGUUUAAUAAAAACACAGCACUCUGCAAACACGAAAGUGGACGUAUAGGGUGUGACGCCUGCCCGGUGCCGGAAGAUUAAAUGAUGGGGUGCAAGCUCUUGAUUGAAGUCCCGGGUAAACGGCGGCCGUAACUAUAACGGUCCUAAGUAGCGAAA
Molecule: ribosomal RNA, 1838 nt
Filed under: Ralstonia pickettii
Lineage: Bacteria; Pseudomonadati; Pseudomonadota; Betaproteobacteria; Burkholderiales; Burkholderiaceae
Description: bacterial LSU rRNA
Rfam family: Bacterial large subunit ribosomal RNA
Source: RNAcentral